RNAcentral lists this ribosomal RNA (460 nucleotides) under uncultured bacterium. RNAcentral's name for it is "partial 16S ribosomal RNA". It matches the Rfam family "Bacterial small subunit ribosomal RNA", at positions 338 to 795 of the family's 1533-position model. The record is from RNAcentral.
CCUACGGGGGGCAGCAGUGAGGAAUAUUGGUCAAUGGACGUGAGUCUGAACCAGCCAAGUAGCGUGAAGGAUGACUGCCCUAUGGGUUGUAAACUUCUUUUAUAUGGGAAUAAAAUGUUCCACGUGUGGGAUUUUGUAUGUACCAUAUGAAUAAGGAUCGGCUAACUCCGUGCCAGCAGCCGCGGUAAUACGGAGGAUCCGAGCGUUAUCCGGAUUUAUUGGGUUUAAAGGGAGCGUAGGUGGAUUGUUAAGUCAGUUGUGAAAGUUUGCGGCUCAACCGUAAAAUUGCAGUUGAAACUGGCAGUCUUGAGUACAGUAGAGGUGGGCGGAAUUCGUGGUGUAGCGGUGAAAUGCUUAGAUAUCACGAAGAACUCCGAUUGCGAAGGCAGUUCACUGGACUGCAACUGACACUGAGGCUCGAAAGUGUGGGUAUCAAACAGGAUUAGAUACCCGAGUAGUC